RNAcentral lists this ribosomal RNA (253 nucleotides) under uncultured bacterium. RNAcentral describes it as "partial 16S ribosomal RNA". It matches the Rfam family "Bacterial small subunit ribosomal RNA", at positions 524 to 776 of the family's 1533-position model. The record is from RNAcentral.
UACGUAGGUGGCAAGCGUCAUCCGGAUUUAUUGGGCGUAAAGGGAACGCAGGCGGUCUUUUAAGUCUGAUGUGAAAGCCUUCGGCUUAACCGGAGUAGUGCAUUGGAAACUGGGAGACUUGAGUGCAGAAGAGGAGAGUGGAACUCCAUGUGUAGCGGUGAAAUGCGUAGAUAUAUGGAAGAACACCAGUGGCGAAAGCGGCUCUCUGGUCUGUAGCUGACGCUGAGGUUCGAAAGCGUGGGUAGCAAACAGG